CUCGCUGCCCCACCUGACAUUGAAGAAUUCACAUAUACAAAAGUGAGUGCAUCUACAAAUUCAAUUGACACAGGUAAACCUCCUGCUAACUGGGAGAAAGUCCUUGAAGGGAUCCGCAAAAUGAGGUCUUCUGAAGAUGCACCAGUAGACAGUAUGGGUUGUGAGAAAGCUGGAAGUGCUCUUCCUCCUAAGGAAAGAAGAUUUGCUGUCUUGGUGUCUUCUCUCUUAUCAAGCCAAACGAAGGAUCAUGUUAAUCAUGGAGCAAUUCAGCGUCUACUUCAAAAUAAUCUGCUCUCUGCUGAUUCCAUUGACAAAGCUGAU
Molecule: non-coding RNA, 321 nt
Organism: Prunus avium (sweet cherry)
Lineage: Eukaryota; Viridiplantae; Streptophyta; Magnoliopsida; Rosales; Rosaceae
Source: RefSeq, a predicted model, not a curated record